UACAGAGGUCUCAAGCGUUGUUCGGAAUCACUGGGCGUAAAGGGUGCGUAGGCGGUGUGGAAAGUCAGAUGUGAAAUCCGGAGGCUCAACCUCCGAAUUGCAUCCGAUACUCCCGCGCUAGAGGGUUGUAGGGGAGCUUGGAAUUCUCGGUGUAGCAGUGAAAUGCGUAGAUAUCGAGAGGAACACCUGCGGCGAAGGCGGGUUGCUGGGCUGAUACUGACGCUGAGGCGCGAAAGCCAGGGGAGCGAACGGG
This 253-nucleotide ribosomal RNA is filed under the name uncultured bacterium. RNAcentral describes it as "partial 16S ribosomal RNA". It matches the Rfam family "Bacterial small subunit ribosomal RNA", at positions 524 to 776 of the family's 1533-position model. The record is from RNAcentral.